UCGAGAAUCUUCGGCAAUGGGCGCAAGCCUGACCGAGCGACGCCGCGUGUGCGAUGAAGGCCUUCGGGUUGUAAAGCACUGUCGAGGGGGAUCAAAGCGCAAGCUUGAGAGAUCCCUGGAGGAAGCACGGGCUAAGUUCGUGCCAGCAGCCGCGGUAAGACGAACCGUGCGAACGUUGUUCGGAAUCACUGGGCUUAAAGGGCGCGUAGGCGGUCGGGCAAGUCCGGGGUGAAAUCCUGCAGCUUAACUGUAGAAGUGCCUUGGAUACUGCCCGGCUCGAGGGAGGUAGGGGUCUGUGGAACUUCUGGUGGAGCGGUGAAAUGCGUUGAUAUCAGAAGGAACGCCGGUGGCGAAAGCGACAGACUGGACCUUUUCUAACGCUGAGGCGCGAAAGCUAGGGGAGCAAACGGGAUUAGAUACCCCGGUAGUCCUAGCCCUAAACGUUGAGCACUAGAUUGCAGACUAGUCAUGGGUUUGCAGUCGAAGCAAAAGUGUUAAGUG
RNAcentral lists this ribosomal RNA (501 nucleotides) under uncultured Planctomycetota bacterium. RNAcentral describes it as "bacterial SSU rRNA". It matches the Rfam family "Bacterial small subunit ribosomal RNA", at positions 355 to 866 of the family's 1533-position model. The record is from RNAcentral. Lineage: Bacteria; Pseudomonadati; Planctomycetota.